ACGCUCGACACCUACGGGAGACAGCAGUGGGGAAUAUUGGGCAAUGGGCGCAAGCCUGACCCAGCAACGCCGCGUGAAGGAAGAAGGCCCUCGGGUUGUAAACUUCUUUUGUCAGGGACGAAGCAAGUGACGGUACCUGACGAAUAAGCCACGGCUAACUACGCGCCAGCAGCCGCGGUAAUCUGAGCGGGCUGGCAAGGC
This 201-nucleotide ribosomal RNA is filed under the name uncultured bacterium. Its description in RNAcentral is "partial 16S ribosomal RNA". It matches the Rfam family "Bacterial small subunit ribosomal RNA", at positions 328 to 539 of the family's 1533-position model. The record is from RNAcentral.